This 378-nucleotide long non-coding RNA is filed under the name Bos taurus (domestic cattle). Its description in RNAcentral is "long non-coding RNA NONBTAT022619". Lineage: Eukaryota; Metazoa; Chordata; Mammalia; Artiodactyla; Bovidae. The record is from RNAcentral.
UUCUUGUCUGGGCUUCAGAUAUACUUGGAUCUUUGACAUACUUAAUAUAAAGGCCCUGUCUUUGAUGUGCUUUUUUCCUCCUUUUUAAAGUUGUAGACAUGGUCCCUUUCUAGGUGUGUAUCACUGUAUUUUGCUUGUGUAAUAGUGAAUUGUUUUGUGGCAAGAAUAUUGUCAACUUGGCAGCUGAUGAAAGAUGAUGUAUAUGGUAACAAAAAUAAACAAGUUCAGGGGUAGGGAAUAUAAACAUAGUAAAAUCUUGUGUUGAAAUCAGAGCCUUCAGAUUUAGCAAACAUGUUAGAACAGGAGAAGUGAGUGUGUUGGAGUUCAGUUUAAACAAGAUGUGAAUAGUAUAGCACAUGGAAAAUGAAGGCUUAUUUU